GAUGAACGCUGGCGGCGUGCCUAAUACAUGCAAGUCGAGCGAACAGGCGAGGAGCUUGCUCCCCUGACGUUAGCGGCGGACGGGUGAGUAACACGUGGAUAACCUACCUAUAAGACUGGGAUAACUUCGGGAAACCGGAGCUAAUACCGGAUAAUAUAUUGAACCGCAUGGUUCAAUAGUGAAAGACGGUUUUGCUGUCACUUAUAGAUGGAUCCGCGCCGCAUUAGCUAGUUGGUAAGGUAACGGCUUACCAAGGCAACGAUGCGUAGCCGACCUGAGAGGGUGAUCGGCCACACUGGAACUGAGACACGGUCCAGACUCCUACGGGAGGCAGCAGUAGGGAAUCUUCCGCAAUGGGCGAAAGCUUGACGGAGCAACGCCGCGUGAGUGAUGAAGGUCUUCGGAUCGUAAAACUCUGUUAUUAGGGAAGAACAAAUGUGUAAGUAACUAUGCACGUCUUGACGGUACCUAAUCAGAAAGCCACGGCUAACUACGUG
Molecule: ribosomal RNA, 497 nt
Filed under: uncultured bacterium
Lineage: Bacteria
Description: partial 16S ribosomal RNA
Rfam family: Bacterial small subunit ribosomal RNA
Source: RNAcentral